GUGUUCUCAAUGAGUGACAUUUAAUCACCACAUUAUUAAAGCCAGUCUUUUAUUAUUGUUUUUUCUUUAAUUUAUAAAUUUUCAGUAUUUCUGAAAAAUUCUUAAAAAGUUGAACGCUUUAGUGAAUUGAACCUUUUAGUUUCACUAUUCUUAAGAUAUUUGUUUUUGUGUUUUUAUAGCAAUACGUUUGGUUUAAUAUUGGCAGCGUGGACACCUUUGAACGGAAUCUGGAAACUUUACAGCAGGAAUUGGGCAUAGAAGGAGAAAAUCGGGUGCCUGUUGUCUACAUUGCUGAAAGUGAUGGCUCUUUUCUGCUGAGCAUGCUGCCCACGGUGCUCAUCAUCGCCUUCUUGCUCUACACCAUCAGAAGAGGGCCUGCUGGCAUCGGCCGGACAGGCCGAGGGAUGGGCGGACUCUUCAGUGUUGGAGAAACCACUGCCAAG
This 443-nucleotide small RNA is filed under the name Pongo abelii (Sumatran orangutan). RNAcentral describes it as "retained intron". Lineage: Eukaryota; Metazoa; Chordata; Mammalia; Primates; Hominidae. The record is from RNAcentral.